CCUACGGGUGGCAGCAGUGAGGAAUAUUGGUCAAUGGCCGUAAGGCUGAACCAGCCAAGUAGCGUGAGGGAAGACUGCCCUAUGGGUUGUAAACCUCUUUUAUGUGGGGAUAAAGGGGUCCACGUGUGGAUGUUUGUAGGUACCGUAUGAAUAAGGACCGGCUAAUUCCGUGCCAGCAGCCGCGGUAAUACGGAAGGUCCGGGCGUUAUCCGGAUUUAUUGGGUUUAAAGGGAGCGUAGGUCGGUCUUUAAGCGUGUCGUGAAAUUUUGUGGCUCAACCAUGAGAGUGCGGUGCAAACUGGCAGCCUUGAGUGCGCGGAAGGCAGGCGGAAUUCGUGGUGUAGCGGUGAAAUGCUUAGAUAUCACGAAGAACCCCGAUUGCGAAGGCAGUCUGCCGCAGCGUUACUGACACUGAAGCUCGAAAGCGCGGGUAUCAAACAGGAUUAGAUACCCUUGUAGUC
Molecule: ribosomal RNA, 460 nt
Filed under: uncultured bacterium
Lineage: Bacteria
Description: partial 16S ribosomal RNA
Rfam family: Bacterial small subunit ribosomal RNA
Source: RNAcentral